UGCAGUGUGCUGUACUACACUAAGCAUGGCUCAGUGCAGCUUCGGCUCUCGGGGAGGACGCUUGACGUGGGUGUGUGGAUUAGGAGCGGCUGCGAUCCAGCCAGUGUGCUGUGGUCCUACUCUGGAUAUUACUUAUCAUUCAGCAUUACAAGGAUGUCACAUUUACAAUUGAUCACAUGGAUUUGUCUGUUCCCUUCAUCAGUGGAGAAUUUUGAAACCCGGUCUUCUCAGGAGUCGCGCAGAGAGAGGAUUCAUUACACGAGGGAAUUAUUGUUAUUUUGAAAACUGGAAUUUAUAAGGAUACAUUUUUCUGGAUUCAAUACAACCUUUAGUAAUUGUUCUACUGGAUAACUGUGUCUUGACGUCUUUUACGCGGAACGUGUGUCAAGCUACAGCGUUCGCAUUGACACCCAACUACAGGACCAGAGAGGUCCGGUGCAGGGACUCCUAUGGUCGGGCACAGACACGCCGGUCAAUGGGUCUCUUGAGGAUAUCUUAUUCGCAGUGACCGAUGGCUAAAGUUCAGCGGUUACCGAUGGAAAUAACACGCACAAUGCUGGAUCACUACGAUGUUGGAUGAUUUGCGGGAUGGUUUGAACAGUGCAAUGGGAUUGGAUAGUAUGUUUUUGUGGUACAUAUUGGGGGAAUUUGUACCCAUGUUUUGGACAUCUACACGGAAUGGAUUAUCCCAUUACGCACAACUAAAUGGAUUAUUACCUGACAGGAGGAAGGAGAUAUUGUUUGGACACACCCCUACCCGACCAGUUGCCUGCCUCCCAGAAGGGAUGGGACAACGUUGGAAUGCAGCGCAGCCUAGAAACUGAUUGUAUGUAGCACUGCAUUCAUUAAGGACUUUACCGUUGCAGGUUACAUGAAAGAGCAUGAUCAUCUCGAAGCAGUAGGAUCUUUGUUCCAUCAGAUGUUUGAUCAGUUGCAACGACAGCACAAUGGUACAUUUAUUCAACACCUGUUGAAUUAUUCUGGAAUGAUCUCAAAUGAAAUCAACUGUUAUUGGUCACAUGCACAUGUUGAGCAGAUGUUAUUGCGGGUGUAGCAAUACUAAGCCUGACCAUAAAGCUUUAGAACGUAUUUAGUUUCUGUUUUUAAUCUACAUAAUUUUUGUGGUUAUGACAUAUCUUUCUCCAGACACUGUAUAAUGAUUUGUGCCAUUGAUGAGAACAACAUUGUGUCCUUGUUUUUGGCGCCCCCUCUGGUGAAAUACAUUGUUUACACUGUUUUGACGUUGUUUACGAGGUACAGCCGCUAGGGGCAUAAUUACAUCUCGUUCUUUACAAGGUAUAUUACCCAACGACUAUUUCACCACUGUGCUUUUAACAUGACCUGAUUGGGAAUGGAAUGUAAUUACACAAUGUUUUUGCUUCCCAUAGUUCUAGAAGCUUGCUAACUACUAUUGUGUCAUGUUCCAUAGAGAGUUGUCUGGAGACUUCUGCUGUCUAAUGCUUCUCUUAUUUGCUUCUCCACUUAGGACGUGGCCACAACUGUUAACAAUAGGCCACAUCUUUGCAUGUGUUUUAUACUAGUUAUACUAGUUAUAUUGGAUCAAUGUAAGAUCACUAUUUGUCACCUGUCUAUGUUUUCUGUCCCCUCCUCACCUCCUCUCCUUCAUUUCACUGAUCUAAAACAAUGAACAGGUAAAAGUGUAAUGAUGAGCUUCCACCAUACUGUUUUUACAGGUGGUACAGACAUACUUACUUCAUCGUUGCAAUUGUAUUACAGAAAUUAAGUCUAUAAAUGCAGCAAUUUCUUAUUUUGUGUGUGCAAUUGAGACAAAGCCAAGUGGAGUCAUUUCAUGAGAACCCAGGAAUGUUGAAGUGUGUCACCUCCACCACAUGGUGGCGCUGUUGUCUAAGACUUCUCACAAUCUGUAGCCGUGAUUUUGGAGAAAAGAGCCCUGCUCUGAAACAGUGUUCUUUGACGUGUUCUCAUAGAUGAGCCCUCUGAAAACCCAGGUUGAUAAGAUAUUGUGAUGUUUUAUCACACCUAUUGACAUACAUCUUGUCACAGUUUACAGUGACAACAUGUGGAAACAUGUUCAGUUGGAGUCCUUCACUCCUUCAUGUCCAAACCUCUAUUGUUAACCAAAAACUUGUAACCUACUUACAUUGCCCUGCAAUAGAUUAGCAUCCUGUCCAAGGGGUGAACCUGUACAGCUGCCUCACACUACAGAAACAGGAGAUGGGCUCCAGCUCCUAUAAGCUGCUCCCCGGCUCCAACAAACCAAGGCUCUUUACUGACGUUGUCAUAACAUGAUCAGACAUUAGGAAUGUGUUAUGAGAACUACAGAAACGACUAUCAACAGCUGGAGUUACAUGAGCUCAGCUUGGUGGUUAGCUGAUGUGGUAUUUCUGAGAGGUAGUUACUGCUACUACUAGGUAGCUACUCGGUGCUCACACACCCGCUCCUAUGAAACGACAAUACAAUCUCAAGCUUCACCACCAGGGGGCAAUGUGGCACCAUGGAAUAGAUAUAACACCCACUCUGGCAGGGUAAGAUAUUGCCGUUGCUAUAAGGCCAGCGCAACUCUGUGAUCUGUGGAGUAAUGGCUCUAGAUUGGCAUUGUAUUUUUUCAAAAAGUCGCCCUGUUCCCUAUGUAGUGCACUACCAUGUGACCAGGGCCCAUAGGCCAGUGUAGGGAAUAGUGUGCCAUUUAGAACAACCCUAGGUGAUCAUUAUUAUCUUGUUAUUGCCCUUUGUUGAAGCCCAUCUCUCUUUGAAGAUCAAAGCAGUAGUCUGCCUCUGUGUGUACCGACCCACACAGAUAACACACAACCUACAAGUGAACUACAAUAAAGUCUACCACUCUGUACAUCUGUCACGGUGUCAGCUUCAUAUCAUUCCUGUCUAUAGAGACUAAUGCCAUUCUGCCAUAAUCUGCUCCCAGAUGUGUUUGUGCUGUAUAGACAGCUCCUAUGGUGAGAGGUAUAGAUGGAUGUGAGUGUGGUCGCACAGAUCAGUCAGGUUGGGUCUGUUGGAAGCAGGGUAUUUUUCUGUGGCACAGGAUCAGUCAGGUUGGGUCUGUUGGAAACAGGGUAUUUUUCUGUGGCACAGGAUCAGUCAGGUUGGGUCUGUUGGAAACAGGGUAUUUUUCUGUGGCACAGGAUCAGUCAGGUUGGGUCUGUUGGAAACAGGGUAUUUUUCUGUGGCACAUGAUCAGUCAGGUUGGGUCUGUUGGAAGCAGGGUAUUUUUCUGUGGCACAGGAUCAGUCAGGUUGGGUCUGUUGGAAGCAGGAUAUUUUCUGUGCCCUGCUGGAACACAUGGAAAAUAGGGAACUCUGCAUGGCUUACUGUUGGCCCGCAUCCAGCUUACUGUUGGCCCGCGUAUGCACUUCAGACAUAACGAGAGAGAGAGAAACCGAGAGAGAGACAGACAUAAUGAGAGAGAGAGAAAUGGACAUAA
This is a long non-coding RNA of Oncorhynchus tshawytscha (Chinook salmon), 3418 nucleotides long. RefSeq lists it as uncharacterized. NCBI's taxonomy places the organism in Eukaryota, Metazoa, Chordata, Actinopteri, Salmoniformes, Salmonidae. The transcript has 2 exons. The record is from RefSeq and is a predicted model, not a curated record.